This 429-nucleotide ribosomal RNA is filed under the name Gemmatimonadota bacterium. RNAcentral's name for it is "Gemmatimonadetes bacterium partial 16S ribosomal RNA". It matches the Rfam family "Bacterial small subunit ribosomal RNA", at positions 355 to 776 of the family's 1533-position model. Lineage: Bacteria; Pseudomonadati; Gemmatimonadota. The record is from RNAcentral.
UAGGGAAUCUUCGGCAAUGGACGAAAGUCUGACCGAGCAACGCCGCGUGAGUGAAGAAGGCUUUCGGAUCGUAAAACUCUGUUGUUAGAGAAGAACAAGGACGUUAGUAACUGAACGUCCCCUGACGGUAUCUAACCAGAAAGCCACGGCUAACUACGUGCCAGCAGCCGCGGUAAUACGUAGGUGGCAAGCGUUGUCCGGAUUUAUUGGGCGUAAAGCGAGCGCAGGCGGUUUCUUAAGUCUGAUGUGAAAGCCCCCGGCUCAACCGAGGAGGGUCAUUGGAAACUGGGAGACUUGAGUGCAGAAGAGGAGAGUGGAAUUCCAUGUGUAGCGGUGAAAUGCGUAGAUAUAUGGAGGAACACCAGUGGCGAAGGCGGCUUUCUGGUCUGUAACUGACGCUGAGGCUCGAAAGCGUGGGGAGCAAACAGG